UAAGGAUCUCCGUAGGUGACCUGCGGAGGGACAUUACACAAAUAUGAAGGCGGGCUGGAACCUCUCGGGGUUACAGCCUUGCUGAAUUAUUCACCCUUGUCUUUUGCGUACUUCUUGUUUCCUUGGUGGGUUCGCCCACCACUAGGACAAACAUAAACCUUUUGUAAUUGCAAUCAGCGUCAGUAACAAAUUAAUAAUUACAACUUUCAACAACGGAUCUCUUGGUUCUGGCAUCGAUGAAGAACGCAGCGAAAUGCGAUAAGUAGUGUGAAUUGCAGAAUUCAGUGAAUCAUCGAAUCUUUGAACGCACAUUGCGCCCUUUGGUAUUCCAAAGGGCAUGCCUGUUCGAGCGUCAUUUGUACCCUCAAGCUUUGCUUGGUGUUGGGCGUCUUGUCUCUAGCUUUGCUGGAGACUCGCCUUAAAGUAAUUGGCAGCCGGCCUACUGGUUUCGGAGCGCAGCACAAGUCGCACUCUCUAUCAGCAAAGGUCUAGCAUCCAUUAAGCCUUUUUUUCAACUUUUGACCUCGGAUCAGGUAGGGAUACCCGCUGAACUUAA
RNAcentral lists this ribosomal RNA (556 nucleotides) under Alternaria alternata. RNAcentral describes it as "eukaryotic LSU rRNA". The stretch from base 202 to 355 matches the Rfam family "5.8S ribosomal RNA". The record is from RNAcentral. Lineage: Eukaryota; Fungi; Ascomycota; Dothideomycetes; Pleosporales; Pleosporaceae.